UCUCGACCCCUCAUUACCCAGGAUUUCCCCAUUCUGAAAACAAAGAAGAGAUUUUUUCUCCUAGAAGUUUCCGGUCGUUUUCCUGUAGAUACCGAGCUUCGCCGAGCUGAGCGGAAGGAACUUGAUGGGUAAGACGAAGUCGGUGAAGCAUGACAUUGAUUCUUACACUAUAAAUGGCACCAACAAAGUCGUAAGACCUGGUGAUUGUGUGUUAAUGAGACCACCAGAAUCUGAUAAGCCACCGUAUGUGGCAAGAGUAGAGAAUAUUGAGGCUGACCAUCAAAACAGUGAAGGUUCGAGUACGAUGGUACUACCGUCCUGAGGAGUUUGUUGGUGGCUGCAAACAGUUCCCCGGGACAAAGGAGCUAUUUUUGUCAGAUCACUAUGAUGUGCAGAGUGCACACGCUAUUGAAGGAAAAUGCAAAGUGCACUCAUUCAAGAACUACACCAAAUUGGAGAGCGUGGGCCCUAAGGAUUACUUCUGUAGGUUUGAGUACGAAGCUGACACAGGAGAGUUUACUCCUGACCGUGUUAUUGCUUUGUAUUGCAAGUGUAAGAUGCCCUACAACCCAGACGAUCUCAUGGUACAGUGUCAAGAAUGCAAAGACUGGUUCCAUCCCUCUUGUAUGGGAAUGACGAUUGAAGAAGCCAAGAAAUUAGACUAUUUCUUGUGUUCGGACUGUUCAUCAGAACACGAUGCGGAACAGCCUCUGAAUACAGUUCAUGUUUCACCAUCUCGUGAGCUAAAGGUACCAAUCUUGGGUGCACUACCUCCAAAUCCCAACCCACUCAUGUUUCAAGGUAGGCAUGAACAGAAUGAGCAACUUAAUCAACAAGGACAAUCCCAAAUGGAUGGUUACAUGAGUGCUAUUGUACCACCACACAUUGGGGCUGCCAAUUUUAGCUUGAAUCCAGUUUUGUUAGAAAUUUUGAAGGACGAGGGUCUAUUUGGUGGGCUUCACCAUGAGGAUCCGUAUAGUCAUUUGCGGAAUUUUCUCGCAGUAUGCGCGCUUCAACAUCAGUAUGACGUUUCUGAGGAUGCUCUUUGGUUACGUUUAUUCCCUUUCUCACUUCAAGGGGAGGCUUCAGAUUGGUUGGAUAAUCUUCCAGCCAUGUCUAUCUAUACUUGGAGAGAGUUAACAAAGGUAUUCCUUGCAAAGUACUUUCCUCCCGCUAGGACAGCUGAAUUGAGAAUGGGUAUUCUUCAAUUCAAGCAGAAACCGCAUGAAUCAUUGCAUGAAGCAUGGGACAGGUACAAGCUUUGCAUAAAGAAAUGCCCUAAUCAUGGGUGUCCCAAUCAAUUACUUUUGGAAACCUUCUACUUGGCUUUGGAUAAAGUUACAAGGUCCGUGGCGGAUAAUGCGGCAAAUGGAGCUAUCAUGAAUCUCUCGGUUCAAGAUGCGAGAGUCAUAUUAGAUAGGAUUUCGGAUAAUGCUCAUGCAUCAUACGUGGGAGAGCGAGGACACUCCUAGCACAGCAAGUACGGCAAGUCAAAUGGCUAGGGAUGAGACCAUGGCGCAACUUGUGACUCAAGUGGGGCUUAUUUCCAAACAACUUGCCGAGAUGGGGGUCAAGAAGGUCCAUGUGGUUGAUGCCACAAGGGGACAGUUUAUUAAUUCUUCACCCAAUGUGUGUGCUCAUUGUGCAGGGAAAGGAGUGACAACCCAAGAGCAUUGCGCCAUCAUUCUCCAGAGGAGGAAUCGAAUUAUGCUGGAAACUACGAAGGUGGCAUGAAUCAAAGGGGUAAUUAUUAAGGUGGUCGUCCAUCCCAAUCUCAGUGGCGACCACCCCAACAAUGGCUAAACAAUCAAGGUUGGAAUCAAAACACUCAAGGAGGUAAUUGGGGAGCCGGUACUUCACAAGCAUCUAAUGCACUAAGGCCUCCUAUGUAUCAACAAACAACCCAACAUCCACCCUACUACAAUCAAGGUCAGUCCUUCCAUCAACCCAAAGACAACAAUGGCAGCAAUGAACUUGCCAAGAUUAAAGGGUUGUGUGAAAAGAUUUUGGCUGAUUCGGGGAGAACAGAUGCAACACUUCAAGACUUGGGGCAAGUCCAAAAUACUGAACACUAGGCCCCAAGGUGCUCUACCAAGUGAUACCAUAGCUAAUCCUAGGGGUGAUUCGGGAAAUCUACAUUGGAUGGAAUAGUUGGAUGUUUGGGUUAGAUGUGAAGCUGGAUGUAUGACGAUAAGCCUCAGAAAGAUGAUCCGGUGAUACUCAAGAGUCAAGACUUGUAACUUUCCCAGCUAGAUUUGCAAUAUGUCUGGUUAAGGAAGAUACUUGGUUAUCAGUGCUUAUAGAACUGUUUUAUAUGAGGUGUGAAUUCAUUAAGUCGUAAACUAAUGGAGAUCUUUUCAUCUAGUCAGUUUGAGUUAAUUGACAAUGCAUUUCGAGGUCACGGCAGCAUCCUUGUGUGAUGGAUUCACGACAUAUCGAGCUGGUUGUACAGCUAAAAAAAGUUGUUUGUGCAACUUGCUUGAUUUAUAUGUUAAGUAGCACUCUCGUUUUAUAUACUAGAAAUACCAUGCCUUGUGAAUUUUACAGAUGAAGGGCUCAAUUUUUCCCAGAGGUA
This is an RNA transcript of Nicotiana tabacum (common tobacco), 2575 nucleotides long. RefSeq lists it as uncharacterized. The record is from RefSeq and is a predicted model, not a curated record. Lineage: Eukaryota; Viridiplantae; Streptophyta; Magnoliopsida; Solanales; Solanaceae.